Molecule: ribosomal RNA, 409 nt
Filed under: bacterium
Lineage: Bacteria
Description: partial 16S ribosomal RNA
Rfam family: Bacterial small subunit ribosomal RNA
Source: RNAcentral
UGGGGAAUAUUGCACAAUGGGCGGAAGCCUGAUGCAGCGACGCCGCGUGGGGGAUGAAGGCCUUCGGGUUGUAAACUCCUUUCGACAGGGACGAGGCUUUUUUGACGGUACCUGUAUAAGAAGCACCGGCUAACUACGUGCCAGCAGCCGCGGUAAUACGUAGGGUGCGAGCGUUGUCCGGAAUUACUGGGCGUAAAGAGCUCGUAGGUGGUUUGUCGCGUCGUCUGUGAAAUUCCGGGGCUUAACUCCGGGCGUGCAGGCGAUACGGGCUGACUUGAGUGCUGUAGGGGAGACUGGAAUUCCUGGUGUAGCGGUGAAAUGCGCAGAUAUCAGGAGGAACACCGAUGGCGAAGGCAGGUCUCUGGGCAGUAACUGACGCUGAGGAGCGAAAGCAUGGGUAGCGAACAGG